Molecule: ribosomal RNA, 525 nt
Filed under: uncultured bacterium
Lineage: Bacteria
Description: bacterial SSU rRNA
Rfam family: Bacterial small subunit ribosomal RNA
Source: RNAcentral
CCUGAUGCAGCAACCCCGCGUGCGGGAUGACGCCCUUCGGGUUGUAAACCGCUUUCGCCUGUGACCAAGCGUGAGUGACGGUAAUGGGUAAAGAAGCACCGGCUAACUACGUGCCAGCAGCCGCGGUGAUACGUAGGGUGCGAGCGUUGUCCGGAUUUAUUGGGCGUAAAGGGCUCGUAGGUGGUUGAUCGCGUCGGAAGUGUAAUCUUGGGGCUUAACCCUGAGCGUGCUUUCGAUACGGGUUGACUUGAGGAAGGUAGGGGAGGAUGGAAUUCCUGGUGGAGCGGUGGAAUGCGCAGAUAUCAGGAGGAACACCAGGGCGAAGGCGGUUCUCUGGGCCUUUCCUGACGCUGAGGAGCGAAAGCGUGGGGAGCGAACAGGCUUAGAUACCCUGGUAGUCCACGCUGUAAACGGUGGGUACUAGGUGUGGGGUCCAUUCCACGGGUUCCGCGCCGUAGCUAACGCUUUAAGUACCCCGCCUGGGGAGUACGGCCGCAAGGCUAAAACUCAAAUGAAUUGACGGAA